AGGUGAUGUAAUGCUUUAAAGAGCAGAAGUGGUGCUGAUGCUGCGCAGUCAAACAGCAGCAGAGAGACGGGACAAAACACACAGACACACACAUCACACCGAGGAGCGGAGGUUCAGUGCAGACUCACCCUCAGAGACAGAACAAUGACUCUCGCAGCCUACAGAGAGAAGAUGAAGGAGCUCCCCCUGGUGGCCUACUUCUGCUCUUGCAUCCUUCCAGAGCCUAAAGAGAAAACCACCAAAAAAACUCACCAAGGCGUGGUGGAUCUGAACCUGUGCCUUAUCAGGGACAUGGAGGUGAUCGAGCUGAACAAGCGUUCCUCAGGUCAGGCCUUCGAGGUCAUCCUGAGGCCGCCGUCGUUCGACGGUCAGAGAGAGUUUAAUCCCACCAUCCCGCCCCGCAGAGACCCCUCGCUGGAGGAGAUCCAGAAAAAGCUGGACGCUGCGGAGGAGAGGAGGAAGGGUCAGGAGGCCGAACUUCUGAAACAUUUGGCUGAAAAGCGAGAGCACGAGCGUGAAGUGGCUCAGAAAGCCGUGGAGGAACACAACAACUUCAUCAAAAUGGCCAAAGAGAAGCUGGAGCAGAGGAUGGAGAUCAACAAGGAGAACAGAGAAGCUCACAUCGCUGCCAUGCUCGAGCGCCUGCAGGAGAAGGAGAAACACGCUGAGGAGGUGAGGAAAACGAAAGCGCAGAUGGAGGUGGACUGGCAGUAGAACGGGAAACGCUGCUCUGUCCGUCUCAUUGUCGUGUCGUUUAGAUGUCACGUGGGGGGGAAACCCGGAAUUGUGUGAUUUGGAUUUAAUUUCCGAGCUUCAGCGUGAGAUUUGCGCAAAAGAGUGUUAGAGAAAGAAGAACAUUCAUUAGGACUUUGCAUGUUUUUAAGCUCACACGCUGCGUCUGCUCUCAAUUCGCCUGCUGUCCGUCCUGAUUAGUGUCUGAGAUUAGGAUUAUCGUGUCUCUGAAUCAGUUUAAUUAUUUUAUAGAGUGCACGUUUCCAUGCCAACAGAGCAAAUCUUUUCCUACGUAAAGCAGGAGACGCUUUCCUCGCUCGUGCUCGUGCUCGUGUUCUCGCUCCUGCGUUGAGAUUUCACCAGAUUUUGGGAAUUGCUUUAGGACCCACAAUAUUCCCUACUCGUGAAGGAAAACAGAUCAAAUUCAAAAGAAAAUCUCUUGAAGUUAAACUUAUAUUCUGUCUGUAGUAAGUCGUGACUUCGUGCUCAUCGUUAUCUGGGAACGCUUUCUAGUCCACAUCAUUCUUCUUCCACUGUUUAUCACUCAGACACUCGGGCCUUUACAGCUGGUCUCACAAACCUCGACUGCUCUCAAAGAACACGACCAAGAACCAGCUACAUGCGCAGAAACAGGAAGUCUGAUGGACGUGACAUGCGACCAAUCACAGAAUCUUUUCCUGCAGCGUGUCAGUAAACAAGAGAGAUCGGAUUCACUGUCUGAUGAUCGACAAACUAAACAACGCUGCGUCUCAAUCCGUCCUGAUCAACAGCCGAGAUUAGGAUCAUCGGGUCCCGGAUCGUAGGCUGCUGAAACGAGUUUCCCGAAGAUUCCCGGAUACUCAACUGAUUCCUGGAGAUUUUCCAAGUAAAUCUUACCGACAAUAUUACCCACGAUUCCUUGCGCGAGGGAGGAGGAGGAGUUUGGUGACGGUUUGCUUCUCCGAAUCCGAGGACGUGUUUUAGAGAGGUGUAAAUGAAACGUGGAAAAUAAAUCAAGGGAAUGUUAAAUGAAAUGAUGAAAGAAGAAAAAAAAUGAAAUGAUGAAGAAAAGCUGAAAUGCGGCGAGGAGGUUGUUUACGGUGACGGCGUGUGUAACCAGGCAACAACGUUCUCUUCUCUUCCGUUACAUCGUUACGUGUUAGUGAGAACGUCCCAGUACUCGCAUACGACUCUUUACUACACACUCAAAAGUACGCACUUUUCCUUCACUAAUACUGUAGUGCGUAGUAGAAGUAGGCGAAUUGAGACGCAGAGACGGGGUUGUGAUGUGUUUUUGUGAUGAUGUAAGAACGUAAACUUGUAGUUUGUGUAGUUGCAGUUGGUGUGUAUUAGCUUUGUCAGUUUUAUUGUGUAAAAUUAAAUAACGGCUCGAUAUCAGAGGAAGUGAAUCAUGUGAAGCGUGGUUUGUUUUAAUGCUUGCAUGACCUGAUAAAGUGCCUUGAGGUCUUCUGAACAUUUUGGGAUCCCGCUCACCAAAGGACUGAAUGCGAUAAAGCCAUGAGCUUUAUUAGCUUUUUUUGGGGAAAAACAAACAAACGAAAACAAGCGAAAAUCACAGAAGGUUGUGAUGUUGUUACUAUGGUUACGAUGGCUUUUGUGCGGCCGUUUUUUUGCGAGACGAGAAACAGAGUGACUGGUUUUUCAGCAGAGUCGGAGACAGGAGCAGCGCUAAUUUAAUACGAGGAGCCAACUGUGCCAAAACUGAGUGUGUGUGUGUGUGUGUGUGAGGUGUGUGAGGUGUCUGAGGUGUGUUUUUGGACUUUCUUGUGCCUGUUUUGUUAAAGCGAGACCUCGAACCCUCUUGUUUGCUGUGAAUAUGUUCCAACGCCUCCAUGAUCAGCUGGUUUCUGAUUUGGCUGUUCGAUUUUGCUGUACAGAAAUUGUAAUAUAUUUUCGAUGCGAAGGGCAUUAAAGAUCUGCUGUGUGCUACG
This is an RNA transcript of Pangasianodon hypophthalmus (striped catfish), 2663 nucleotides long. It is a transcript of the gene named stathmin-like 4, like, with no coding region annotated. NCBI's taxonomy places the organism in Eukaryota, Metazoa, Chordata, Actinopteri, Siluriformes, Pangasiidae. The transcript has 7 exons. The record is from RefSeq and is a predicted model, not a curated record.